UGGCGGACGGGUGAGUAAUGUCUGGGAAACUGCCCGAUGGAGGGGGAUAACUACUGGAAACGGUAGCUAAUACCGCAUAACGUCGCAAGACCAAAGAGGGGGACCUUCGGGCCUCUUGCCAUCGGAUGUGCCCAGAUGGGAUUAGCUAGUAGGUGGGGUAACGGCUCACCUAGGCGACGAUCCCAAGCUGGUCUGAGAGGAUGACCAGCCACACUGGAACUGAGACACGGUCCAG
This 235-nucleotide ribosomal RNA is filed under the name uncultured bacterium. RNAcentral's name for it is "partial 16S ribosomal RNA". It matches the Rfam family "Bacterial small subunit ribosomal RNA", at positions 96 to 334 of the family's 1533-position model. The record is from RNAcentral.